Molecule: ribosomal RNA, 531 nt
Filed under: uncultured bacterium
Lineage: Bacteria
Description: bacterial SSU rRNA
Rfam family: Bacterial small subunit ribosomal RNA
Source: RNAcentral
AAUAGAUACCCUGGUAGUCCUAGCCGUAAACGAUGAACACUAGGCGUAGUCGGUAUCGACCCCGGCUGUGCCGUAGCUAACGCAUUAAGUGUUCCGCCUGGGGAGUACGGCCGCAAGGCUAAAACUCAAAGGAAUUGACGGGGGCCCGCACAAGCAGCGGAGCGUGUGGUUUAAUUCGUCGCAACGCGAAGAACCUUACCAGGGCUUGACAUGUGGCGGAAAACGGCGGAAACGUCGUCCUCCCGCAAGGGACCGUCAUGCAGGUGUUGCAUGACUGUCGUCAGCUCGUGUCGUGAGAUGUUGGGUUAAGUCCCGCAACGAGCGCAACCCCCGUGGCAUGUUGUAUCUCUCAUGCCAGACUGCCGAGAGAAACUCGGAGGAAGGUGGGGAUGACGCCAAGUCAGCAUGGCCCUUACGUCCUGGGCUACACACACGCUACAAUGGCCGGUACAACGGGUUGCCAAACCGCGAGGUGGAGCUAAUCCCUUAAAGCCGGUCUCAGUUCGGAUUGCAGGCUGCAACUCGCCUGCA